RNAcentral lists this ribosomal RNA (252 nucleotides) under uncultured bacterium. RNAcentral describes it as "partial 16S ribosomal RNA". It matches the Rfam family "Bacterial small subunit ribosomal RNA", at positions 525 to 776 of the family's 1533-position model. The record is from RNAcentral.
ACGGGGGGUGCAAGCGUUAAUCGGAUUUACUGGGCGUAAAGAGCACGUAGGCGGUUGAUUAAGUUGGAUGUGAAAGCCCAGGGCUUAACCUUGGAACUGCAUUCAAAACUGGUCAACUCGAGUAAGGGAGAGGAGAGUGGAAUUUCCAGUGUAGCGGUGAAAUGCAUAGAUAUUGGAAGGAACACCAGUGGCGAAGGCGACUCUCUGGCCUAUUACUGACGCUGAGGUGCGAAAGCGUGGGGAGCAAACAGG